UUUGCUUCCAGCUUUUGUCUCC
RNAcentral lists this non-coding RNA (22 nucleotides) under Arabidopsis thaliana (thale cress). The record is from RNAcentral. Lineage: Eukaryota; Viridiplantae; Streptophyta; Magnoliopsida; Brassicales; Brassicaceae.